RNAcentral lists this long non-coding RNA (467 nucleotides) under Portunus trituberculatus (swimming crab). RNAcentral's name for it is "uncharacterized LOC123506693, transcript variant X1". The record is from RNAcentral. Lineage: Eukaryota; Metazoa; Arthropoda; Malacostraca; Decapoda; Portunidae.
GGUGCGAGUUUGAUCCUGAGUUCUGACCCAGUGCAGAUACUUGGUGAGAUUAGUGGUGCUUUCUCUUCAACCCCAGCUAAAGAAAGGCCACAAGCUCACAUGUCUGCCUUAAUGGCCCUUGUGCAGUGGAUAGGCAUUAAGCCCAAACCUUUCCUUUUCUUACUCUACCUCUGGUGCCCUCAGCUCACCUCACCGCCACAGGCAAGGUAGCGGCCAGCCACCGUCCACGCCAGCCAGACGCAAAGCGGGGCCAGCCUGUUGUCCACCUUACACAGGUCAACCAGUGGCAAGCGCCCUCAGGGGAACGUGACUCGCUGGCCAGGCUGUAUGAAAGUAAGGGAUGCCAGAGACAAAACAAGGAGAGACGAUUGGUCAGCCGUUGUGUCACGCGAUCCAAGACGACAGAAGCGUGACUUCAUGAUCAGUCUUGUAUUCAUGCAUGUUAUACUACCAACUCAGCAAACUGU